CUGCCGGUGACAAACCGGAGGAAGGUGGGGAUGACGUCAAAUCAUCAUGCCCCUUAUGAUUUGGGCUACACACGUGCUACAAUGGACAAUACAAAGGGCAGCGAAACCGCGAGGUCAAGCAAAUCCCAUAAAGUUGUUCUCAGUUCGGAUUGUAGUCUGCAACUCGACUACAUGAAGCUGGAAUCGCUAGUAAUCGUAGAUCAGCAUGCUACGGUGAAUACGUUCCCGGGUCUUGUACACACCGCCCGUCACACCACGAGAGUUUGUAACACCCGAAGCCGGUGGAGUAACCUUUUAGGAGCUAGCCGUCGAAGGUGGGACAAAUGAUUGGGGUGAAGUCGUAACAAGGUAGCCGUAUCGGAAGGUGCGGCUGGAUCACCUCCUUUCUAAGGA
This 393-nucleotide ribosomal RNA is filed under the name Staphylococcus aureus. RNAcentral describes it as "bacterial SSU rRNA". It matches the Rfam family "Bacterial small subunit ribosomal RNA", at positions 1149 to 1533 of the family's 1533-position model. The record is from RNAcentral. Lineage: Bacteria; Bacillati; Bacillota; Bacilli; Caryophanales; Staphylococcaceae.